Neofelis nebulosa (Clouded leopard) is the source of this 2193-nucleotide long non-coding RNA. RefSeq lists it as uncharacterized. The record is from RefSeq and is a predicted model, not a curated record. The transcript is spliced from 2 exons. Lineage: Eukaryota; Metazoa; Chordata; Mammalia; Carnivora; Felidae.
ACAGUCGGGCCUGAGGGAGGGCCCUCCGUGACCUUGUGUCGCGUUGUCAAGGACGACGGGACCUGCGCGCGGGCCCUGGGCCCUGGCCCGCCAGCUGGGCCUCACUUCGUGCAUCCCCUAAAUGGGGCCGACGCCCGCACACAGCCGGCUGUGAAAGGUGGCGCCGGGGCGGAAGCAGUGCUCGUCCCCGGGGCUUGACGAGUUUGGGGCUGCCGGCUCUACCGAGGCGGGCGGAGGAAGAGAUGGGGUGGGUUUCACUCCAAAACUUGAACUCAGGGGCCGCCCCACCGGCAGGACUGGGCAUAUUCAUUCUUUGCCUCCCGCCUUGCUGGAGGUGAGGCUGAAGUUGAGACCGCAACUCCUUUUAUUUUAAUUAAGAAAAAAAAAUUCUUUUUUUUUAAAUUGAAGUGUGGUUGACACGCAAAGUUCCAGGCAUGGAACGUAGUGAUUCAGCAGGGCCGCACCUCGUGCUGCGCUCACUCGCUGCGAGCUACCCUAGACACCCACGGCGCCACUCCUUCUCGGCCUGUGACUGUCGUCGCUGUGCCGUGCUUUUCCCGUCGCUGUGCGGUGCUUUUCCUGCCCAUGUCAACGCCCCUUCUCGCCGAGUGCCAUGGCUCAAAACGUGCCCGGGCGGCUCCCCAAGUGAUUCGGAGGCUCACCGACACAAUCCUGCGGAAACGGAGGUGCUCGAGAGCCUGAUGAGAGACUCAAACGCCUGAACCUUGAGAUCGUGACCUGAGCCGAAAUCAAGAGUCAUAAGCUCAGCCGACUGAGCCACCCAGGUGCCCCGGGAAGAUGGGAUUUUUUUUUUUUUUUAACCAACUUUAUAAACCUUCUUACAAGGUACCUUAAUUUUUGAAGCUCUAAAAAUAGGAGUAUUGAGGAGCCAGACAGUCCUGCAGAUGCUGGGUGUUGUCUCAAAGCUAUUACUGUUUUAGUGUUUGGGCCUCAGGAACAAGUGUGCCCACCCCCAGCAGGCACAGACCUGUACAGACCCCGUUUGGAACAAGGGCAGCUGCAGUGUGGAGACUCUGGCUGCAGCUUCAGAGGCAGUAACUCUCCCUGGCUUUUGGAGGCAUCAAAAUGUUCAAAUUCAGAGAAACAACUAAUGGCCUGGUAGGACCUGAUCAGGGUUUUGCGCGUCUCUCUCUCUUUUUUAAUGUUUAUUUUUGAGAGAGAGAGAGAGAGAGAGGCGCGGAGUGCGAGUGGGGGAGGAGAAGAGAGGGAGACACAGAAUCCAAAGUGGGCUCCAGGCUCUGAGCUGUCAGCACAGAGCCAGAGGCGGGGCUUGAACUCACGAACCAUGGGAUCAUGACCUGGGCCGAGGUCGAACACUUAACCAGCGGAGCCACCCAGGCACCCUGCGCGUCUCCUAAAGUCCUUUGUAGGACUUGACACCAACUCGGCAUGGUUCAGAACUCAGAAACAUAACCUUUUGCUGACUCACUCGACAGGCGUCUCGGUGUGUUUAAUGAACGUCAACCCUCUGCUAACUCCAGGUACCUGCCCACCGCAGUGCAAGAUCUGGUGAGAACCCAGGCCCCGACGCCCACUUGUACACCCGCUGACUGUGGGAUCUGGUCGGAAGCAAGACCUGUGGCCCUUUGUGGAGGCAGGUAUAGCCACUUAGGACCUGGCCUGGAACUAACUAGAACAUUUCUGAUUUCUCCAAAUCAUUUCUUCUGUUUGUCAGUGUCCACUUUUAAUUCCACCAUCAAAGACAUUCGAAAUGUCACAAGUCGAUUCCACAGAUCCCCCAAACUUUCAGGAGUGACUGGACCGAAGGCCUUUGUCCCUUUUCAUGCCUUACGGCAAUGGCAUUUGGUCCAGGCCCCUGCCCUUGGCAAUCCCGUGAACAUGGUCUGUGCCCCACCUAGUGGCUCCCAGCCUCCCUGUCCAGCAUUAACAACGUAAGAAAGCUGAGUCCAAACAACCACAAAGUGUCACUGCUGGGGUCUUUUCUGAGCACGUCUGGCUCAGGGGAAGCCAGGGUGAAGGAGGCAGCCACCUCUCCCACUGCAUGUAUUCCUGGAAACUUCCACUGGGGGAUACCACUUGGAGAACUAGCCUUGAGGGCAUGUUUGGAAAGAUGCCUUCUGUCCUGGCAAAGCACUCUGGUCACAUUUUCCCCCCAAUUUGUAGAUGAGGUCAUUGUAGGCACUGGAAUAAAAAAUGUCCACCCAAACUCAA